CAAUUUAAAGCUUAAUCAGUAAAGUAUUUCAUUUACAUUGAAAAGAAAUUUGUGCAAAUCAAUUUAAAUUGA
Molecule: transfer RNA, 72 nt
Filed under: Anopheles peryassui
Lineage: Eukaryota; Metazoa; Arthropoda; Insecta; Diptera; Culicidae
Description: tRNA-Val
Rfam family: tRNA
About the family: Transfer RNA (tRNA) molecules are approximately 80 nucleotides in length.
Source: RNAcentral